This 253-nucleotide ribosomal RNA is filed under the name uncultured bacterium. RNAcentral describes it as "partial 16S ribosomal RNA". It matches the Rfam family "Bacterial small subunit ribosomal RNA", at positions 524 to 776 of the family's 1533-position model. The record is from RNAcentral.
UACAGAGGGUGCGAGCGUUAAUCGGAAUUACUGGGCGUAAAGGGCGCGUAGGCGGUUUAUUAAGUUGGAUGUGAAAUCCCUGGGCUUAACCUAGGAACUGCAUACAAUACUGGUAGAUUAGAGUGCUGUAGAGGGUAGUGGAAUUUCCGGUGUAGCGGUGAAAUGCGUAGAUAUUGGAAGGAACACCAGUGGCGAAGGCGGCUACCUGGACAGACACUGACGCUGAGGCGCGAGAGCGUGGGGAGCAAACAGG